GAUGAACGCUGGCGGCGUGCCUAAUACAUGCAAGUCGAGCGAACAAAGGAGGUACUUGUUCCUCUGGCAUGAGCGGCGGACGGGUGAGUAACACGUGGGGAACCUGCCUAUAAGCCGGGGAUAACUUCUGGAAACCAAUGCUAAUACCGCAUAAUAUCUUUAAACACAUGUUUCAAGAUUGAAAGACGCUUUUGCUUUACCUUAAGAUGGGACCGCGUCGUAUUAGGUUUUUGGUAAGGUAAAGGCUCUCCAAGGCAAAGUUACGUAACCGACCUGAGAGGGUGAUCGGCCAAAUUGGACUUGAGAACCGGUCAAGCCUCUAACGGGAGGCAGCAGUAGGGAAUCUUCCGAAAUGGCCGAAAUCUUGCCGGAGAAACGCCGCGUGAGGGAUGAAGUUCUUCGGAUCGUAAACCUCUGUUAUUAGGGAAGACGAAAGGUGUAAGUAACUAUGCACGUCUUGACGGUACCUAAUCAGAAAGCCACGGCUAACUACGUG
This 496-nucleotide ribosomal RNA is filed under the name uncultured bacterium. RNAcentral describes it as "partial 16S ribosomal RNA". It matches the Rfam family "Bacterial small subunit ribosomal RNA", at positions 28 to 507 of the family's 1533-position model. The record is from RNAcentral.